CUCCUAAAUUGCAUUGAUUUAUACUAAAGAUUUCAUUUUAAUUGGAAUUUGGUUAUUCACCAUGUACGAGGAUC
This 74-nucleotide transfer RNA is filed under the name Cucurbita ficifolia (figleaf gourd). RNAcentral describes it as "tRNA-Ile". Lineage: Eukaryota; Viridiplantae; Streptophyta; Magnoliopsida; Cucurbitales; Cucurbitaceae. The record is from RNAcentral.